This 270-nucleotide ribosomal RNA is filed under the name uncultured prokaryote. RNAcentral describes it as "partial 16S ribosomal RNA". It matches the Rfam family "Bacterial small subunit ribosomal RNA", at positions 524 to 792 of the family's 1533-position model. The record is from RNAcentral.
UACGUAGGGUGCGAGCGUUGUCCGGAAUUACUGGGCGUAAAGAGCUCGUAGGUGGUUUGUCACGUCGUCUGUGAAAUUCCGGGGCUUAACCUCGGGCGUGCAGGCGAUACGGGCAAUACUUGAGUGCUGUAGGGGAGACUGGAAUUCCUGGUGUAGCGGUGAAAUGCGCAGAUAUCAGGAGGACACCAAAGGCGAAGGCAGGUCUCUGGGCAGUUACUGACGCUGAGGAGCGAAAGCAUGGGUAGCGAACAGGAUUAGAUACCCCCGGUA